CCUACGGGAGGCAGCAGUGGGGAAUAUUGCACAAUGGGGGAAACCCUGAUGCAGCGACGCCGCGUGAGCGAUGAAGUAUUUCGGUAUGUAAAGCUCUAUCAGCAGGGAAGAAAAUGACGGUACCUGACUAAGAAGCCCCGGCUAACUACGUGCCAGCAGCAGCGGUAACACGUAGGGGGCAAGCGUUAUCCGGAUUUACUGGGUGUAAAGGGAGCGUAGGGGGCGAUGCAAGCCAGCUGUGAAAGCCCGGGGCUCAACCCCGGGACUGCAUUUGGAACUGGAUAGCUGGAGUGUCGGAGAGGCAGGCGGAAUGCGUAGGGUAGCGGUGAAAUGCGUAGAUAUUAGGAGGAACACCAGUGGCGAAGGCGGCCUGCUGGACGAUGACUGACGUUGAGGCUCGAAAGCGUGGGGAGCAAACAGGAUUAGAUACCCUUGUAGUC
RNAcentral lists this ribosomal RNA (440 nucleotides) under uncultured bacterium. Its description in RNAcentral is "partial 16S ribosomal RNA". It matches the Rfam family "Bacterial small subunit ribosomal RNA", at positions 338 to 795 of the family's 1533-position model. The record is from RNAcentral.